This 253-nucleotide ribosomal RNA is filed under the name uncultured bacterium. RNAcentral describes it as "partial 16S ribosomal RNA". It matches the Rfam family "Bacterial small subunit ribosomal RNA", at positions 524 to 776 of the family's 1533-position model. The record is from RNAcentral.
UACGGGGGGGGUAAGCGUUGUUCGGAAUUACUGGGCGUAAAGGGCGCGUAGGUGGCCUUCUAAGUCGAACGUGAAAUCCCCGGGCUCAACCCGGGAACUGCGUCCGAUACUGGAAGGCUUGAAUCCGGGAGAGGGAUGCGGAAUUCCAGGUGUAGCGGUGAAAUGCGUAGAUAUCAAGUGGAACACCGGUGGCGAAGGCGGCCUUCUGGACGGUGACUGACGCUGAGACGCGAAAGCGUGGGGAGCAAACAGG